This 391-nucleotide unclassified non-coding RNA is filed under the name soil metagenome. Its description in RNAcentral is "partial contains 5.8S ribosomal RNA, internal transcribed spacer 2, and large subunit ribosomal RNA". The stretch from base 1 to 122 matches the Rfam family "5.8S ribosomal RNA", at positions 35 to 154 of the family's 154-position model. The record is from RNAcentral.
GAUGAAGAACGUAGCGAAAUGCGAUACUUGGUGUGAAUUGCAGAAUCCCGUGAACCAUCGAGUCUUUGAACGCAAGUUGCGCCCGAAGCCAUUAGGCCGAGGGCUCGCCUGCCUGGGCGUCACACGUCGUUGCCCCCCCAUCUACUCCUUCGGGAUUGCGGGGGGCGGAUGAUGGCCUCUCGUGCGCCUCGUCGCGCGGUUGGCCUAAAUGCCAAGUCCUCGGCGACGCACGCCACGACAAUCGGUGGUUGCGAAACCUCGGUUGCCUGUCGUGUGCGGUCGUCGCGCAUCGAGGGCUCGAAAAAAUUGCCGGGCUUCGGCUCGACUUUCAACGCGACCCCAGGUCAGGCGGGGUUACCCGCUGAAUUUAAGCAUAUCAAUAAGCGGAGGA